Molecule: ribosomal RNA, 456 nt
Filed under: uncultured Syntrophaceae bacterium
Lineage: Bacteria; Pseudomonadati; Thermodesulfobacteriota; Syntrophia; Syntrophales; Syntrophaceae
Description: bacterial SSU rRNA
Rfam family: Bacterial small subunit ribosomal RNA
Source: RNAcentral
GCACAAGCGGUGGAGCAUGUGGUUUAAUUCGAUGCAACGCGAAGAACCUUACCUGGGCUUGACAUCCCAAGAAUCCCUGGAAACAGGGAGUGCCCUUCGGGAGCUUGGAGACAGGUGCUGCAUGGCUGUCGUCAGCUCGUGUCGUGAGAUGUUGGGUUAAGUCCCGCAACGAGCGCAACCCUUGCCUUUAGUUGCCAUCAUUCAGUUGGGCACUCUAGAGGGACUGCCGGUGUCAAACCGGAGGAAGGUGGGAUGACGUCAAGUCCUCAUGGCCUUUAUGCCCAGGGCUACACACGUGCUACAAUGGGCGGUACAAAGAGCAGCGAGCUCGCGAGAGUAAGCAAAUCUCAAAAAGCCGUCCUCAGUUCGGAUUGGAGUCUGCAACUCGACUCCAUGAAGUUGGAAUCGCUAGUAAUCGCGGAUCAGCAUGCCGCGGUGAAUACGUUCUCGGGCCUU